This 362-nucleotide unclassified non-coding RNA is filed under the name soil metagenome. Its description in RNAcentral is "partial contains 5.8S ribosomal RNA, internal transcribed spacer 2, and large subunit ribosomal RNA". The stretch from base 1 to 120 matches the Rfam family "5.8S ribosomal RNA", at positions 35 to 154 of the family's 154-position model. The record is from RNAcentral.
GAUGAAGAACGUAGUGAAAUGCGAUAAGUAAUGUGAAUUGCAGAAUUCAGUGAAUCAUCGAAUCUUUGAACGCACCUUGUGCUCCUUGGUAUUCCGAGGAGCAUGCCUGUUUGAGUGUCAUUAAUAUAUCAACCUUCUCUUUUUUGAGUUGUUUGGAUGUGGGGGUUUGCUGGCCUCUUAAAUGAUUCAGCUCCCCUGAAAUGCAUUAGCAGAACAACCUGUUCAUUAGCGUGAUAAUUAUCUAUGCUAUUGAAUGUGAGGGCAGUUCAGCUUUCUAACCGUCCUUGGACAAUUCAUCAUUAAUGUGACCUCAAAUCAGGUAGGACUACCCGCUGAACUUAAGCAUAUCAAUAAGCGGAGGA